RNAcentral lists this ribosomal RNA (354 nucleotides) under Fusarium sp. NTLF07. RNAcentral describes it as "eukaryotic LSU rRNA". The stretch from base 1 to 154 matches the Rfam family "5.8S ribosomal RNA". Lineage: Eukaryota; Fungi; Ascomycota; Sordariomycetes; Hypocreales; Nectriaceae. The record is from RNAcentral.
AAAUUUCAACAACGAAUUUUUUGGUUAUGGCAUGGAUGAAGAAGGCAGCAAAAUGGGAUAAGUAAUGUGAAUUGCAGAAUUCAAUGAAUCAUUGAAUCUUUGAACGCACAUUGCGCCCGCCAGUAUUCGGGCGGGCAUGCCUGUUCGAGCGUCAUUUCAACCCUCAAGCCCCCGGGUUUGGUGUUGGGGAUCGGGCUGCGGUUCUGCCGCGUCCCGGCCCCGAAAUCUAGUGGCGGUCUCGCUGCAGCCUCCAUUGCGUAGUAGCUAACACCUCGCAACUGGAACGCGGCGCGGCCAAGCCGUUAAACCCCCAACUUCUGAAUGUGACCUCGGAUCAGGUAGAUACCCGGUUCU